This 63-nucleotide transfer RNA is filed under the name Chrysomeloidea sp. 1 KM-2017. RNAcentral's name for it is "tRNA-Trp". Lineage: Eukaryota; Metazoa; Arthropoda; Insecta; Coleoptera. The record is from RNAcentral.
AAGGAUUUAAGUUAAAUAAACUAGUAACCUUCAAAGUUAAAAAUAGAUUUUGUCUAAGCCUUA